AUCUCGUUUAUGAUGAAAGGUGAGAAUUUUACCAAUGGGUGAUGAAGAAACAUGCUUUACCAUAUCCUCUAAUCAGUUCUGGAGAUAUUGCUAUGCUCCAAAAGGAAGCUCCUGUCCUGGGCUACAACUUACUGGCACAUCCAGUUGAUGGUAAGCAUUAUUCAGUAAUGUUUACAGGGCAUAAUAUUUAGAUAGAUGGAUAAAUCUAAUUGUCACCACUCACCAAGUAUAGUCUUGUGAUUCUUCAAAAGCCAAAUGAUCUUUUCUGUGACCUUUGAAGCUCAGUUCCUGUCUUCGCAUCUCAGUUCAACGCUUAUGCGCUGAUCUACAUUGAUUACAGUUUUACUUGAUGAAUUAUAUUUGCAGUGUGAUCAAAAUAUAGAUAUAAUCAUACUGUUUGUGAUUUGUCUUCCUUCCUCAAAUAUGGAUCCUUGCAAAUACUUGGUCAUUAGAUGUUGUCUCUAUAGUUAUUUUUCUGUUCGAUGGAAUAAUUAGGGUACUAAAACAUUGAUUUCACUUAAAAUCCCUUGGCAUCUAUUUCCAUUCUGCCACAUCCAUUAACCGACUGCCGUAUAUUACAAUUGCACAAGGUUAGGGGUAUGCCUCAUCAAAUCGAGUUACGAAAUGCAGGGCAGGGUGACAGGAACCAACUGAAACAACUAAUAAAAACAUGACCAGUUUAGAACCUACUGACACCAUGGUAUUAACACAAGUACUUAUUACCAUUGUUGCACCUAUGCAUGCUUUUAAGUAUUAACCUCAACAUAUGUUUUGACCCUUCUACAGAACUGAUACUACAGACUCACGAUUAAAAUCGCUGUGGUAAAUCGACCUAUGACUGGUGGUAUAUGGGAUGCAAAGUUUGCUGGAAGAAGCUGAAAAUGGCGCAUUGAAAUGUCCUACAUGUUCCAAUCCAGAACCAUGACCAAGGUAUUUUUUACCCAUGUUACAUCUCAAUUGGUAACUGUGUCACAAGCAAACAAUUCACCACAAUUCCAUCAUGUAAAUAGGUACAAAAUAGCAGUGCUUGCAAUAGACAUGGAACAUGAGGAGGAACCAAACCCAGUAUUCACAGAGUUUGCCUUUUUUAGAGCAUGAGGUGUUAUAAUCACUGGAAGAAGCGCAAACUCGGCUGUAGCUCAUGGAAAAGGACGAGUUGGUUACCUGGCACUGGAAAUAGAGGAACUUUCUGGAACAAAAAUAUUGUGAGCGGUCACUCCAAAUAGUAGAUCCCUGGGCUGAUUUUUAUUAGUAUUUCCAAGUGCAAGCAACAGAUCAUGUGCAAAGUGAGGCACCAUUAACUCGGCAUCGAAUGGUUAAUCCGCCAUCUGCAUCGGACGUUCCACGGUCUUCGUGUUCCACCCAACACCAGGCAACACAACUGUCAAGAAUGUGCUGCCGGCUCCAGCAUCUCCUGACUACUGUAUGAGGGUGUGUCAUUGGAACCAAAAACAAAAAGGCAAGCAGUCCGACGAUCCACCCAUGGGCCAAGCAAAAGAAAAGGUCAGCACGAUUUUAUUGCAGCAAAUUAAAGAAUGGCUGAAUGUUCAGACCAAUGAUACAAUAUUGUUUAACUAUAUGUAGAUGUGCCGCUAAAGAGUCUUUUCCUUUAAAGAGCCACGAGGAAGAGGAAGCUAAUCUUUAGAAGUAGAACAUGUCAGAAGCCUACCGUGUCAAAAUAAUCAUAGGUGCUACUGUUUGUUCAUCGUCUAAGCGUUCUUUCCUUUUGAACUAAGUACCUUGUGGUUUCAUAGCUUUUGAAUUGAUGUCCUUUCAGCUGUAAUGAUAUCCAUCUGCUCACGUAUCAACUUAGUACAUCUAUUAUUCAUCCACUAGCACAUAUGCCUGUGCGUUGCAACGGGAGAUAAUUAGUAUGCAUUUAAAGUCAGUGGGAAUUAUAUGUGCAAGCAAAAUCCUGUGUGCACAUGAAAAACGAACAUUUAGCUUCUCGGUUUCGCCGUGUCUGAAGGAAUCAAUCCACUUUUUUUAUAUUCAUUCAUUGAGGGUAUUUAAGAGUUUUGUUACGUCAUCGUAUGCCACAGAAGGCCCAUGAGUUAUUUAAUCCACCCUUCCUUUCAAUCGAGGAUUUUAACGUAUGAAACUUCUAAAUAUUCUAGGAAACAUAAACAAUUUUUUCAAUCCCGAAGAGUUUUUUGAAAAUUAUGUACACUUUUGAAAAAACACGAACGAAAUAUGAAAGGGAACAUUUUUUAAAAUUCACAAACAUUUUCUGAAAACACCAACUUUUUNNNNNNNNNNNNNNNNNNNNNNNNNNNNNNNNNNNNNNNNNNNNNNNNNNNNNNNNNNNNNNNNNNNNNNNNNNNNNNNNNNNNNNNNNNNNNNNNNNNNUUUCAGUAGUACACAUGGAUUCAAAUAUUUCAAAAAUAAUUUCAAAACAUUGUUUAAUUGAAUUCAAGUGAAUAUUUUGGCCUUUUGGCAAAUGUAAACCGAUAUAACUGGAACUCGUUGAAUUUCAGUUGGUGCUGAAUGUUUUUCUGAAACUGAAAGUGAAAACCUUGUCUAGCAUUGUGGCACAUCAUAUGAAUGAUUUUGUGUAUUGUUUUACUUGGUGGACUUCCUGGUGUUGCCUGCUGAAGCUACAUGGCUAUGUCCUGCAGCACAAUGCUUGGAACAAUUGUAAAAGGUCACUGCCAUUGUAUACACAAAUUUAUUCCCAUAUUCUGGACAUAUAAAGUACAGUGGCAUCAUUUCAUGAAUGUGGAACCAGAUUGCCCCAAACUGAUUUUUUCAUAAAUUUUAAUUUAUUGGUGUAAAAUAUGGAGUGCGUCAUUACUUUGUAAUAUCAGGUUUGUUCAUAUAAAUAUCUGACUCUGAUUUUACUUUGCCUUGCCAUUUCAACCUGUCUAGGCUGUGGAGCUCUAGAUGUAGAAGCUCCCCUACGCCCACCCUUUUAGGCGCAGCCGCUUGCCGCUGCAAACAUCAAUGAUUCCAGUGAUGACCAACUAUUUGGUGAAAUGUCAGAACAGCCGAAGGUUUAUUUUCCUUCCAAUCGGUCUGGAUAGACUGCGAUGUUAUUUUCCCAGAUUUGUGGUCUUCCAAAAACAACAGACUGUUCCUUAAACAGAUCAAAAGCAACUCCACAGCCAGGCUAAAUUUCUUAAGGAAUUUUAGUCGUAAACUACAUGUCGUGGUAAUUAGUUAUGUACUCUCUUUAUUUGGUUUAUCUUGGUCACAAUAUGUAGUGUUAGGUCUAGAAAGAUAUAUUGUAAGGGUGAGCAGUUUAUUGAAUGAUGAUGAUAUUCUCUUUUUUACAUAAAUUUGAGAUUUUUAUUAUGGUAAACAGAUCUCGUUUAUGAUGAAAGGUGAGAAUUUUACCAAUGGGUGAUGAAGAAACAUGCUUUACCAUAUCCUCUAAUCAGUUCUGGAGAUAUUGCUAUGCUCCAAAAGGAAGCUCCUGUCCUGGGCUACAACUUACUGGCACAUCCAGUUGAUGGUAAGCAUUAUUCAGUAAUGUUUACAGGGCAUAAUAUUUAGAUAGAUGGAUAAAUCUAAUUGUCACCACUCACCAAGUAUAGUCUUGUGAUUCUUCAAAAGCCAAAUGAUCUUUUCUGUGACCUUUGAAGCUCAGUUCCUGUCUUCGCAUCUCAGUUCAACGCUUAUGCGCUGAUCUACAUUGAUUACAGUUUUACUUGAUGAAUUAUAUUUGCAGUGUGAUCAAAAUAUAGAUAUAAUCAUACUGUUUGUGAUUUGUCUUCCUUCCUCAAAUAUGGAUCCUUGCAAAUACUUGGUCAUUAGAUGUUGUCUCUAUAGUUAUUUUUCUGUUCGAUGGAAUAAUUAGGGUACUAAAACAUUGAUUUCACUUAAAAUCCCUUGGCAUCUAUUUCCAUUCUGCCACAUCCAUUAACCGACUGCCGUAUAUUACAAUUGCACAAGGUUAGGGGUAUGCCUCAUCAAAUCGAGUUACGAAAUGCAGGGCAGGGUGACAGGAACCAACUGAAACAACUAAUAAAAACAUGACCAGUUUAGAACCUACUGACACCAUGGUAUUAACACAAGUACUUAUUACCAUUGUUGCACCUAUGCAUGCUUUUAAGUAUUAACCUCAACAUAUGUUUUGACCCUUCUACAGAACUGAUACUACAAACUCACGAUUAAAAUCGCUGUGGUAAAUCGACCUAUGACUGGUGGUAUAUGGGAUGCAAAGUUUGCUGGAAGAAGCUGAAAAUGGCACAUUGAAAUGUCCUACAUGUUCCAAUCCAGAACCAUGACCAAGGUAUUUUUUACCCAUGUUACAUCUCAAUUGGUAACUGUGUCACAAGCAAACAAUUCACCACAAUUCCAUCAUGUAAAUAG
Molecule: long non-coding RNA, 4314 nt
Filed under: Triticum aestivum (bread wheat)
Lineage: Eukaryota; Viridiplantae; Streptophyta; Magnoliopsida; Poales; Poaceae
Description: long non-coding RNA (TAES_LNC019011)
Source: RNAcentral